GAUGAACGCUGGCGGCGUGCCUAAUACAUGCAAGUCGAGCGAACGGACGAGAAGCUUGCUUCUCUGAUGUUAGCGGCGGACGGGUGAGUAACACGUGGAUAACCUACCUAUAAGACUGGGAUAACUUCGGGAAACCGUAGCUAAUACCGGAUAAUAUUUUGAACCGCAUGGUUCAAAAGUGAAAGACGGUCUUGCUGUCACUUAUAGAUGGAUCCGCGCUGCAUUAGCUAGUUGGUAAGGUAACGGCUUACCAAGGCAACGAUGCAUAGCCGACCUGAGAGGGUGAUCGGCCACACUGGAACUGAGACACGGUCCAGACUCCUACGGGAGGCAGCAGUAGGGAAUCUUCCGCAAUGGGCGAAAGCCUGACGGAGCAACGCCGCGUGAGUGAUGAAGCUCUUCGGAUCGUAAAACUCUGUUAUUAGGGAAGAACAUAUGUGUAAGUAACUGUGCACAUCUUGACGGUACCUAAUCAGAAAGCCACGGCUAACUACGUG
RNAcentral lists this ribosomal RNA (497 nucleotides) under uncultured bacterium. RNAcentral's name for it is "partial 16S ribosomal RNA". It matches the Rfam family "Bacterial small subunit ribosomal RNA", at positions 28 to 507 of the family's 1533-position model. The record is from RNAcentral.